UUCUGGUCUCAAAUCAUGUAGGAUCACCCGCUGAACUUAAGCA
This 43-nucleotide ribosomal RNA is filed under the name Malassezia brasiliensis. Its description in RNAcentral is "partial 26S ribosomal RNA". Lineage: Eukaryota; Fungi; Basidiomycota; Malasseziomycetes; Malasseziales; Malasseziaceae. The record is from RNAcentral.